UACAGAGGUCCCAAGCGUUGUUCGGAUUCACUGGGCGUAAAGGGUGCGUAGGUGGUCGGGUAAGUCUGAUGUGAAAUCUCUGAGCUCAACUCAGAAACUGCAUUGGAUACUAUCUAGCUAGAGGAGUGGAGGGGGGACUGGAAUACUUGGUGUAGCAGUGAAAUGCGUAGAUAUCAAGUGGAACACCAGUGGCGAAGGCGAGUCCCUGGACACUUCCUGACACUGAGGCACGAAAGCUAGGGGAGCAAACAGG
RNAcentral lists this ribosomal RNA (253 nucleotides) under uncultured bacterium. RNAcentral describes it as "partial 16S ribosomal RNA". It matches the Rfam family "Bacterial small subunit ribosomal RNA", at positions 524 to 776 of the family's 1533-position model. The record is from RNAcentral.